This is a microRNA precursor of Oryza sativa Japonica Group (Japanese rice), 193 nucleotides long. It matches the Rfam family "MIR812 microRNA precursor family". NCBI's taxonomy places the organism in Eukaryota, Viridiplantae, Streptophyta, Magnoliopsida, Poales, Poaceae. The record is from Rfam.
CGAUUUCCGUGUCUAACAUUUGACCCGUUCAUCUUAUUUAAAAAAAUUAUGAAAAAAUUUAAAAAGAUAAGCUAUGCAUAAAGUAUUAUUCAUGUUUUAUCAUCUAACAAUAAUGAAAAUACUAAUCAUAAAAAAAUUUCAUAUAAGAUGGACGGUCAAACGUUGGACAUGUAAACCUAAAAAUUCAGUCUUU